GGGCAGAUUCAGGGGGGGGGGGGCGGGGAGACACCCUCCGCCCACUACCCUCUGCCCUUCCUGUCCCCCAGUAACGCAGUCCAGGCAGAGGGGAAGGAGGGGCCGUGAUCCACACACCUCUGUCGGCUCCUCCGGCUUCCUGACACGCUGUGGUGCACUCACUUCAGGUUUAUUACAUCUUGCCCAAAGUGUGGGAGAGCAGGGUGGCAGAGAAAGCCCACCUUAUCACACAACCAAAGUCCCAACUGUAGACCAAUUGCUCAGCAAUAAUGUCCAUGGUUAAUUCCAUCUGCCAUUCAGCGUGGUGUUUGAAGAUUGUUACUGUUGAAAUUGGAAUGCUUGUACAGUUAUGCAGAAGCUGGCUGUGUUCCUGACAUGACAGUAACCCAAUGCAAUGGAUGAUGGUUGACUGCUGGGAUACCGAUCGCCCUGAUGGUCAUACUAUACUGAUAUGUUUGGAGAAGGAAGCAAGGACAUGCCGGAUCUCAUAGGAAGGAACCCAAUUCCCAGCACAGCAUCAGUCGUGGGCAUCAUAUAAAGACUUGUUAUGUGGGAUGGUCUGCAGGAUGUUACCUCCAGUUGUCACAUAGCCGAUUGCCCACUGUCCGAGGUGUGUGCAGCUUAAUCGGAAGAUAUAACUGUGGGAAAGCACAAGAAGAAGUAAUAAAUCAGCACAACUGUAUCAUCAGGAGAUAAUAACCAGCCAGUUCCUGAGAGCUGCAUACAGUAUUGCUGUGACCACAGACAUUGCAUUAUACAACUGUCGCCUCUUAACUGCAGUAAGCCAAAGACAUAAGAUGCAUAAAUAAGGUUCUCUCAAGUUCCAGCUGAAAUCUUCAAAUCUGCAAGCGUGGCAGCUGGUGGGAAAAGUUUCUGUCUGGAUCCACCUACAUACAAUUUUGCCAGAGAGGUCACUAAUGGGGAAGGCUAGUCUCGUGAUCAACUGGAUGUACCUAAUCCAUCUGACGGUAUUGUGGAGUGACUGCCUGGUAUUCUGAAUUCCUGGUCUUUACAGUCUCCUACAGUUCCCAGCAUCUUGGGGGUAAUGCAGAGUUGAUUGAAGCAUCAAAUUUGCUAGCAGUUGGGAAAAACCAUGUGCACUGCUGCACUGCAGGUGGGGCAGAUGUAACAUGUGCAGAGAGAGUUAGAUUUGGGUGGGGUGUGUUCAAACUGAAAUCUAAAUUGCAGUGUAAAAAUAAAGCAGCCAGUAUUUACCCUGCACAGAAACAAACAAAAA
Pseudophryne corroboree (corroboree frog) is the source of this 1237-nucleotide long non-coding RNA. RefSeq lists it as uncharacterized. The transcript has 5 exons. Lineage: Eukaryota; Metazoa; Chordata; Amphibia; Anura; Myobatrachidae. The record is from RefSeq and is a predicted model, not a curated record.